RNAcentral lists this long non-coding RNA (357 nucleotides) under Nicotiana benthamiana. RNAcentral describes it as "long non-coding RNA (NBEN_LNC015955)". The record is from RNAcentral. Lineage: Eukaryota; Viridiplantae; Streptophyta; Magnoliopsida; Solanales; Solanaceae.
AACAUAUCGCACUCUGUUUGCGUAAGCUUAGGACAAGAGUAGAGUAUGAAGUUUUUGUAUUCUCUAUCACAGACUUCUUAUCUAAUCCAUAACUACCAUCGUCGAUAGUUCUCUCAUUUCCAAUUUUCUUCCCUAGACCUAUUAUAUUCAUGAAAUAUUUUGUGCAUAUACUGAUCUGAUACUGCCUCUUAGUUCAUGCUCUACAAUGAAUGAUCUAUUGUUAUCGACACCAUUUAGUUUCUCUCUCUAAAGUGGUCAACGUGUUAUUAGGUUUAAUAAAAAUUACAUGAUCUGAGCUCACAUUACAAGGUUGCAAUGUCAACCUAAAGUGGUCAACGUGUUAUAACUGACUCCUGU